This 503-nucleotide ribosomal RNA is filed under the name uncultured bacterium. Its description in RNAcentral is "partial 16S ribosomal RNA". It matches the Rfam family "Bacterial small subunit ribosomal RNA", at positions 31 to 523 of the family's 1533-position model. The record is from RNAcentral.
AUAGAACGCUGGCGGCAGGCUUAACACAUGCAAGUCGAGCGGGGUGAUGGUGCUUGCACUAUCACUUAGCGGCGGACGGGCGAGUAAUGCCUAGGAAUCUGCCUAUUAGUGGGGGACAACAUCUCGAAAGGGAUGCUAAUACCGCAUACGUCCUACGGGAGAAAGCAGGGGAUCACUUGUGACCUUGCGCUAAUAGAUGAGCCUAAGUCGGUUUAGCUAGUUGGUGGGGUAAAGGCCUACCAAGGCGACGAUCUGUAGCGGGUCUGAGAGGAUGAUCCGCCACACUGGGACUGAGACACGGCCCAGACUCCUACGGGAGGCAGCAGUGGGGAAUAUUGGACAAUGGGGGGAACCCUGAUCCAGCCAUGCCGCGUGUGUGAAGAAGGCCUUAUGGUUGUAAAGCACUUUAAGCGAGGAGGAGGCUCUUUUGGUUAAUACCCAAGAUGAGUGGACGUUACUCGCAGAAUAAGCACCGGCUAACUCUGUGCCAGCCGCCGCGGUAA